This 468-nucleotide ribosomal RNA is filed under the name uncultured bacterium. RNAcentral's name for it is "partial 16S ribosomal RNA". It matches the Rfam family "Bacterial small subunit ribosomal RNA", at positions 28 to 507 of the family's 1533-position model. The record is from RNAcentral.
GACGAACGCUGGCGGCGUGCUUAACACAUGCAAGUCGAACGGAAAGGCCCUGCUUUUGUGGGUUUCUCGAUUGGCGCACGCGUGAGUAACACAUGUGUAACCUCCCCUUGUCUUUGUGAUAACUUCUCGAAACUGCGGCUCUUACCGGAUAUGAUCUCCUGCUGCAUGGUGUGGGUUGGAAAGUUUCGGCGGUUGUGGAUGUUCUCGCUGCUUAUCAGCUUGUUGGUGGGGUAGUGGCUUACCAAGGCUUUGACGGGUAGCCGGCCUGAGAGGGUGACCGGCCACACAGGGACUGAGAUAAGGCACAGACUCGUAAGGGAGGCAGCAGUGGGGAAUAUUGAACAAGGGGCGGAAGCCUGAUGAAGAAACGCCGCGUGCGGGAUGACGGCCUUCGGGUUGUAAACCGAUUGCGCCUGUGACGAAGCGUGAGUGAAGGUAAUGGGUAAAGAAGCACAGGCUAACUAAGUG